Molecule: ribosomal RNA, 497 nt
Filed under: uncultured bacterium
Lineage: Bacteria
Description: partial 16S ribosomal RNA
Rfam family: Bacterial small subunit ribosomal RNA
Source: RNAcentral
GAUGAACGCUGGCGGCGUGCCUAAUACAUGCAAGUCGAGCGGAAAGACGAGGAGCUUGCGCGUCUGACGUUAGCGGCGGGCGGGUGAGUAACACGUGGAUCACCUCCCUAUAAGACGGGGAUAACUACGGAAAACGGGCGAUAAUACCGGAGAAUAUAUUGAACCGCAUGGUGGAUUGGUAAAAUACGGUUUUGCUGUAAGUUAUAGAUGGAUCCGCGCCGCUUGAGCUUGUUGGUAAGGUAACGGCUUACCAAGGCAACGAUGCGUAGCCGAGGUGAGAGGGUGAUCGGCCCCACUGGAACUGGGACCCGGUCCAGACUCCUACGGGAGGCAGCAGUAGGGAAUCUUCCGCCAUGGGCGAAAGCCUGACGGAGCAGCGCCGCGUGAGUGAUGAAGGUCUUCGGAUCGUAAAACUCUGUUAUUGGGGAAGAACAAAUUUGUAAGUGACUAUGCACGUCUUGACGGUACCUAAUCAGAAAGCCACGGCUAACUACGUG